GACGUAGGAGGCAAGCGUUGUUCGGAAUUACUGGGCGUAAAGCGUCCGUAGGCGGAUCUGUAAGUGGAUAGUUAAAUCCCGGGGCUCAACCCCGUGGGUGCUACCCAGACUGCAGGUCUGGAGGUCGGCAGAGGGUGAUGGAAUUCCCGGUGUAGCGGUGAAAUGCGUAGAUAUCUGGAAGAACACCAGUGGCGAAGGCGGUCAACUGGCCCGAAACUGACGCUGAGGCACGAAAGCGUGGGGAGCGAACAGG
This 253-nucleotide ribosomal RNA is filed under the name uncultured bacterium. RNAcentral's name for it is "partial 16S ribosomal RNA". It matches the Rfam family "Bacterial small subunit ribosomal RNA", at positions 524 to 776 of the family's 1533-position model. The record is from RNAcentral.